RNAcentral lists this long non-coding RNA (2395 nucleotides) under Theobroma cacao (cacao). RNAcentral's name for it is "long non-coding RNA (TCAC_LNC000885)". The record is from RNAcentral. Lineage: Eukaryota; Viridiplantae; Streptophyta; Magnoliopsida; Malvales; Malvaceae.
AGCAAGGGAACAAAGAGAAAAAGAGAAGAACAAACCCAAGGAAGGAAAAAUUCAAGAGAAAUUGUUGGAUUUCAAGGAAUCAAACAAGUAAAGGUAAGAUUUUUUAAUUUUAGCUUGUGAUCUACCUUUCCCAUGCAUUCUUUUUCAUUCUCCAUGGCUGAAAUUCAAGUUUUCAAGAGGGAACCUUUGCUGGCCAAACCUAGAGAGUGAAGUUUUGGUGAUGAAUUUUGCUAGAUUUCAUAAUAUCCUAGUGUUUUUAGUCAUUUUGUGAUGUUUGAAAGGAAAAACAAGCAAGAAAAUCACAUGUUCUUCAACCACCCUCAUUUGGCAGAAUUUUCUAUAGGGCAUGUUGUUGAUGGAUUUGGUUGUAAAUCAUGUUAUUUAGCUAGGAAUUGAUGAAUUAUGGUAUCGGAUAUCAAAAUCGAAAUGAAUUUCAGUUACGAUGAAUUAAGUCACAAUUAAGCUCAUUGAGGUACUUUGGUGUAUUUGGAAUUUUGGAAGUGUAAUGAAGAUAUUUGGAGUUGAAUUGGAUGUUUUGGCUAAUUAAACAAGGCAUAGUGCGAGUUAGGUCGAAUGCCAAUUCAGUCCGAUCAUAAUUGAACUCACGUAGAACACCGUCUUUAAAUGAUUAUUCGGACAAUUCUCAUUCAAUGUCAUGCAUUCAUAUAGAGCCUAAAAUAGUUUUAUAAUAGUUUGGCACAAAUAUAUUGAAUUACGUGUCGUGUAUUAUGUAUAGGUGGUGAGCUCUCUGAUAAGGGUAAAGAUAUUGAUAUUGUGCCCGAGGACCAAGAAUAUGAGUACUCCAAACUCCUACUAUUGUGAGUAAUCAGAUGUUCAUCUUAAUUAUCUAAAGUAGUUUAUACUUGUUUUAAUAUUUUAGAGAAUAAGGCACUUAAUUUGCAAAUUAUUAUGUUUUACAUUUUAAAUGUUGGUUAAAUGAAUGAGAUUUAUAAAUUAUUUUGAAACUAAAUGUUGAUUUUCGAAAUAGAGUAAGUGGAGGCUAUAGUUUCGUAUUAUAUAUAUAUAUACAUGAUUUGAAUUGAUGGCUUAUGAAAUUGUGGUAGUAUGAAUGGCUGAAAUUGUGGUUUUGUGAAUUAUAUAAAUUGUUUUGUCUUACAUUGACAGGUUGGAUAGUACUAUAUUAGCCAUGUUAUGCUGCCGAAAUUUUAUUGAUUUAGUGGGUUAUGUAUUUAGCUUACUGCAGUGGAGGGAUUUUCGUGGACCAGCCUAUUAGAAGGGUAUGGUAAACCCCAUUAUAUUUUACCUUAGUAUGAGAGGCAUGGAGGGUAUCUCCUAAGGUAAGUUUAGAGUUCACUUCACGUCGAACCACCACGUAAGGAUGAAACUCAGCCAACGCCAAGGAAUGGCUAUAUUUUAAAAGUAAAAACAUGUUUUAUGGAUAUAUGUCAUUUUAACAUCCUUGGCGGACUCGGUUGGAUGCCCGGGCCAAGGUGUCACUGAGUAUAAGUUUUGGCACAAGCCAAGUUUUUAAGAGAAUCAUAAGCCUUGUUGAUUAGUUUGAUGAAAUGUAAUUGUUUUAUAGGAAUUGAAAUGAGUUUUGAAUGUUAUGAACUAUAUUAUGAUAGGAUGAUUUAACUGUCUCCAUUUACUCGACUUUAGAUGUUAUAGAUGAAUUUUGCUUACUCAUUGAGUUUGUAAAAACUCACCCCUUCUUUUUAUCCAUUUCAGGCUCAGGACAGUCUGUAGACAGUCGAUUUUGUCGAGGGUUGCUUUUGGAUUUGCAUCUUUAGAAAUCGAAGGUCUACAGUCUUGUAUAUUUUCAAUUAUUUUGGGGCUCACAUGUCAUUAUAGAAUAUUUUCGUAUACUUGGUUUAAUGUGCUAUUAUAUAUAUGAAUUUAUUUUGCUCUUACGCUACAAAAAUUGUUUAUGCAGGAUUCUAUAAAUAUUGUUUUAUAAGAAAAUGGAAUAUUUUAUUUAAUAUUUUUAUUUAGUUUGAUUAGCCAAAAUUUCAUUUUAAAUGGAUGCUUAUUACUUGUAUAUCAUAUUUUUACCAAGGUUCCAAAAUUUUAGGUAAAAUGACCAAAAUACCCUUGUGUAGUAGAAAUUACUUUUUGAUUGUUUUUGAUUUGAAAUUAGUCUAUAUUUCUUUAAAACAUGAUAUUUAAUAACUGUUGCUCAUAGGGGAGAAGUAAAACUGAUGCGAAAGCCUUGCGAGGUUUCGGUUGGCAUUCCGGGUAAUGAAUGUCAAUCGAGAGAUCGCGGCAGUUGUCAUCGGCUCGAUGGGAGUACCGGGUCAUGACAAGUCAUUUCAAAGAAGAGAAUUUAGGGUCACAAAUAAAAAGAUGGUUGCUUUAUUUGACAAAUAAAAGAUGGAUAUAAUUAAUUGAAAUGGUAUUAUAUUUCCAUGUUCUAGUUGGAAAUAUCAAAUAUGCC